UCCUUGAAGCCCGUGAGACACGAACGCUUCCAUUGAGAAAAACCUUCCAUCAGAAGAAGACUUCUCGUCUCAGUGGGACUGCUGAGUUGAAUGGAAGGAGGACAAAAUUUGCUGAAAAAUCAAUUAAAAUGGGAAAUGGGAUGAGGUGCUUUUUUUUCUGAAGCUUUGGUAGUGUAACUGUAAGAGUCCUGGAAUUGGAAAAGCAAAUCCAGAAGUUGAGUUCCAUGACUUUUUUGCUGUUUGCCUUUGGGUAAGUCUACGAUAUCCAGUUUCUGCAUCUCUCAAUUUUGUUAUAAAGACUAAAUAAGGUAGUAUACAUGUACACAUGUACAG
This 333-nucleotide long non-coding RNA is filed under the name Homo sapiens (human). RNAcentral's name for it is "HSALNT0214194". Lineage: Eukaryota; Metazoa; Chordata; Mammalia; Primates; Hominidae. The record is from RNAcentral.